This 427-nucleotide ribosomal RNA is filed under the name uncultured prokaryote. Its description in RNAcentral is "bacterial SSU rRNA". It matches the Rfam family "Bacterial small subunit ribosomal RNA", at positions 355 to 774 of the family's 1533-position model. The record is from RNAcentral.
CUAAGAAUAUUCCGCAAUGGACGAAAGUCUGACGGAGCGACGCCGCGUGGAUGAAGAAGGCCGAAAGGUUGUAAAAUCCUUUUGCUGAGGAAGAAUAAGUGUGGGAGGGAAUGCCCGCAUGAUGCCAUGAAUCGGCGAAUAAGCCCCGGCCAACUACGUGCCAGCAGCCGCGGUCACACGUAGGGGGCGAGCGUUGUUCGGAAUUACUGGGCGUAAAGGGCAUGUAGGCGGUUAUGUAAGCCUGGCGUGAAAGUCCACAGCUUAACUGUGGGAUUGCGUUGGGAACUAGAUGACGAGAGUUACGGAGAGGGAGCUAGAAUUCGUGGUGUAGGGGUGGAAUCUGUAGAGAUCAGGAAGAAUACCGAUGGCGAAGGCAAGCUCCUGGCCGAUGACUGACGCUGAGGUGCGAAAGUGAGGGGAUCAAACA